GGGCUCGGUUCGGCAGCACAUAUACUAAAAUUGGAACAAUACAGAGAAGAUUAGCAUGGCCUCUGUGCAAGGAUGAGACACAAAUUCGUGAAGCGUUCCAUAAAAAA
RNAcentral lists this small nuclear RNA (107 nucleotides) under Microcebus murinus (gray mouse lemur). The record is from RNAcentral. Lineage: Eukaryota; Metazoa; Chordata; Mammalia; Primates; Cheirogaleidae.